This 253-nucleotide ribosomal RNA is filed under the name uncultured bacterium. RNAcentral's name for it is "partial 16S ribosomal RNA". It matches the Rfam family "Bacterial small subunit ribosomal RNA", at positions 524 to 776 of the family's 1533-position model. The record is from RNAcentral.
UACAGAGGGUGCAAGCGUUAAUCGGAAUUACUGGGCGUAAAGCGCACGUAGGCGGUUUUUUAAGUCAGAUGUGAAAGCCCCGGGCUCAACCUGGGAAUUGCAUUUGAAACUGGGGAACUAGAGUGUGUGAGAGGGGGGUAGAAUUCCAAGUGUAGCGGUGAAAUGCGUAGAGAUUUGGAGGAAUACCAGUGGCGAAGGCGGCCCCAUGGCAAAACACUGACGCUCAGGUGCGAAAGCGUGGGGAGCAACCAGG